This 492-nucleotide ribosomal RNA is filed under the name uncultured bacterium. RNAcentral's name for it is "partial 16S ribosomal RNA". It matches the Rfam family "Bacterial small subunit ribosomal RNA", at positions 29 to 507 of the family's 1533-position model. The record is from RNAcentral.
AGUGAACGCUGGCGGUAGGCCUAACACAUGCAAGUCGAACGGCAGCACAGUAAGAGCUUGCUCUUACGGGUGGCGAGUGGCGGACGGGUGAGGAAUACAUCGGAAUCUACUUUUUCGUGGGGGAUAACGUAGGGAAACUUACGCUAAUACCGCAUACGACCUACGGGUGAAAGCAGGGGAUCUUCGGACCUUGCGCUAUUGAAUGAGCCGAUGUCGGAUUAGCUAGUUGGCGGGGUAAAGGCCCACCAAGGCGACGAUCCGUAGCUGGUCUGAGAGGAUGAUCAGCCACACUGGAACUGAGACACAGUCCAGACUCCUACGGGAGGCAGCAGUGGGGAAUAUUGGACGAUGGGCGCAAGCCUGAUCCAGCCAUACCGCGUGGGUGAAGAAGGCCUUCGGGUUGUAAAGCCCUUUUGUUGGGAAAGAAAAGCAGCAGGUUAAUACCCCGCUGUUCUGACGGUACCCAAAGAAUAAGCACCGGCUAACUUCGUG